This 416-nucleotide ribosomal RNA is filed under the name uncultured Intrasporangiaceae bacterium. Its description in RNAcentral is "bacterial SSU rRNA". It matches the Rfam family "Bacterial small subunit ribosomal RNA", at positions 355 to 774 of the family's 1533-position model. The record is from RNAcentral. Lineage: Bacteria; Bacillati; Actinomycetota; Actinomycetes; Micrococcales; Intrasporangiaceae.
UGGGGAAUAUUGCACAAUGGGCGAAAGCCUGAUGCAGCGACGCCGCGUGAGGGAUGACGGCCUUCGGGUUGUGAAAUCCUCUUUCAAGCCAGGGAAGAAGUCGGAAGGUGACGGUACCUGCAGAAGAAGCACCGGCUAACUACGUGCCAGCAGCCGCGGUAAUACGUAGGGUGCGAGCGUUGUCCGGAAUUAUUGGGCGUAAAGAGCUUUGUAGGCGGUUUGUCGCGUCUGCUGUGAAAAAUCCGGGGCUCAACCCCGGACUUGCAGUGGGUACGGGCAGGCUAGAGUGUGGUAGGGAGACUGGAAUUCCUGGUGUAGCGGUGGAAUGCGCAGAUAUCAGGAGGAACACCGAUGGCGAAGGCAGGUCUUCUUGGGCCACUACUGACGCUGAGAAGCGAAAGCAUGGGGAGCGAACA